GAGUUUGAUCCUGGCUCAGGACGAACGCUGGCGGCGUGCCUAACACAUGCAAGUCGAACGGAACUGUUUUGAAAGAUUUCUUCGGAAUGAAUUUGAUUUAGUUUAGUGGCGGACGGGUGAGUAACGCGUGAGUAACCUGCCUUCAAGAGGGGGAUAACAUUCUGAAAAGAAUGCUAAUACCGCAUGAUAUAUCGGAACCACAUGGUUCUGAUAUCAAAGAUUUUAUCGCUUGAAGAUGGACUCGCGUCCGAUUAGUUAGUUGGUGAGGUAACGGCUCACCAAGACCGCGAUCGGUAGCCGGACUGAGAGGUUGAACGGCCACAUUGGGACUGAGACACGGCCCAGACUCCUACGGGAGGCAGCAGUGGGGAAUAUUGCACAAUGGGGGAAACCCUGAUGCAGCGACGCCGCGUGGAGGAAGAAGGUCUUCGGAUUGUAAACUCCUGUUGUUGAGGAAGAUAAUGACGGUACUCAACAAGGAAGUGACGGCUAACUACGUGCCAGCCGCCGCGGUAAUUC
This 519-nucleotide ribosomal RNA is filed under the name uncultured bacterium. RNAcentral describes it as "bacterial SSU rRNA". It matches the Rfam family "Bacterial small subunit ribosomal RNA", at positions 9 to 526 of the family's 1533-position model. The record is from RNAcentral.